CCAUUUAAUUAGGUGUGUGAAUUUGUUCUUAAUGAGAAUGUGAGACAAUGUGGUAUAUAGGUUAGAAAAAUCAAAACUUUGAACAGAUUCAAAAUCACCAACAUAAGCAUGCAAUUUAUCAAUUAUGGUUUCAUCUUCUGACUCGGACUUCUCUUGAACUGAAUUUCAAAUGUGCGUAUUGUUAUGCGUUUACUUUUCUAC
Molecule: long non-coding RNA, 201 nt
Filed under: Mytilus galloprovincialis (Mediterranean mussel)
Lineage: Eukaryota; Metazoa; Mollusca; Bivalvia; Mytilida; Mytilidae
Source: RNAcentral